This 392-nucleotide RNase P RNA is filed under the name Candidatus Woesearchaeota archaeon. RNAcentral describes it as "RNase P RNA component". It matches the Rfam family "Archaeal RNase P". Rfam says of the family: Ribonuclease P (RNase P) is a ubiquitous endoribonuclease, found in archaea, bacteria and eukarya as well as chloroplasts and mitochondria. The record is from RNAcentral. Lineage: Archaea; Nanobdellati; Candidatus Woesearchaeota.
CAGGGUUGAUAGUUAGCUAACGGUUCCCUUAAGCAAUUAAGGUUUGAACUGAGGAAAGUCCACCCACUGAAGAUGUUAAAUCUUGCUUAAACGCUUGAUUUGGCAUUGGAGCAACAACUCCACUAAAGGAGACGCAGUAAUGUGUGGCAACGCCACAGAAACGAGACCGCUCUUUAAGAGGAUGAAGAUUGUGAAGCAUCUGGUGACAGGUGUUAGUUAACCAACAGACGUUUUAAAGAGAAAGGGUGAAACGGGCAGACCUUGUUUGUGCAAGUCCAGUGACGUUAAAUGUUCGAAGAACAUUUAUGGCGUCACCAAGACGCUUAGUUGAAUGCUAACACAGUUUAAAGCCAAAAGCUUAGACUGACAGAAGGUGGCUUAUUUCAGCCCUG